UACGAAGGGGGCUAGCGUUGCUCGGAAUCACUGGGCGUAAAGCGCACGUAGGCGGCUUUCUAAGUCAGGGGUGAAAUCCUGGAGCUCAACUCCAGAACUGCCUUUGAUACUGGAGAGCUCGAGUCCGGAAGAGGUGAGUGGAACUCCGAGCGUAGAGGUGAAAUUCGUAGAUAUUCGCAAGAACACCAGUGGCGAAGGCGGCUCACUGGCCCGAUACUGACGCUGAGGCACGAAAGCGUGGGGAGCAAACAGG
RNAcentral lists this ribosomal RNA (253 nucleotides) under uncultured bacterium. RNAcentral describes it as "partial 16S ribosomal RNA". It matches the Rfam family "Bacterial small subunit ribosomal RNA", at positions 524 to 776 of the family's 1533-position model. The record is from RNAcentral.